RNAcentral lists this ribosomal RNA (449 nucleotides) under uncultured bacterium. Its description in RNAcentral is "partial 16S ribosomal RNA". It matches the Rfam family "Bacterial small subunit ribosomal RNA", at positions 29 to 523 of the family's 1533-position model. The record is from RNAcentral.
AACGAACGCUGGCGGCAUGCCUAACACAUGCAAGUCGAACGAGAUCUUCGGGUCUAGUGGCGCACGGGUGCGUAACGCGUGGGAGUCUGCCCUUUUGUUCGGAAUAACAGUUGGAAACGACUGCUAAUACCGGAUGAUGACGAAAGUCCAAAGAUUUAUCGCCAGAGGAUGAGCCCGCGUAGGAUUAGCUAGUUGGUGUGGUAAAGGCGCACCAAGGCGACGAUCCUUAGCUGGUCUGAGAGGAUGAUCAGCCACACUGGGACUGAGACACGGACCAGACUCCUACGGGAGGCAGCAGUGGGGAAUAUUGGACAAUGGGCGAAAGCCUGAUCCAGCAAUGCCGCGUGAGUGAUGAAGGCCUUAGGGUUGUAAAGCUCUUUUACCCGGGAUGAUAAUGACAGUACCGGGAGAAUAAGCUCCGGCUAACUCCGUGCCAGCCGCCGCCGUAA